RNAcentral lists this ribosomal RNA (484 nucleotides) under uncultured bacterium. RNAcentral's name for it is "bacterial SSU rRNA". It matches the Rfam family "Bacterial small subunit ribosomal RNA", at positions 29 to 492 of the family's 1533-position model. The record is from RNAcentral.
AAUCAACGCUGGCGGCGUGCCUAACACAUGCAAGUCGAACGCGAAAGUCCCGCAAGGGAUCAGUAGAGUGGCAAACGGGUGAGUAACGCGUGGGUGACCUGCCUUCGAGUGGGGGAUAACGUUUCGAAAGGGACGCUAAUACCGCAUAACAUCCUGCCUUUUAAGAGGUGGACAUCAAAGCCUGGGGACCGCAAGGCCAGGCGCUUGAAGAGGGGCCCGCGUCUGAUUAGCUAGUUGGGGGGUAACGGCUCACCAAGGCAACGAUCAGUAUCCGGCCUGAGAGGGGCGGACGGACACACUGGGACUGAGACACGGCCCAGACUCCUACGGGAGGCAGCAGUGGGGAAUUGUUCGCAAUGGGCGCAAGCCUGACGACGCAACGCCGCGUGGAGGAUGAAGAUCUUCGGGUCGUAAACUCCUUUCGAUCGAGACGAACGGCCUCCGGGUGAACAAUCCGGAGGAGUGACGGUACCGAGAAGAAGAA